Molecule: long non-coding RNA, 1086 nt
Filed under: Bos indicus x Bos taurus (hybrid cattle)
Lineage: Eukaryota; Metazoa; Chordata; Mammalia; Artiodactyla; Bovidae
Description: lncRNA (ENSBIXG00000013063.1)
Source: RNAcentral
AUUUCCCAAAUUGCACACUUUAACAGGCAAAUGUCUCAGAGUCCACGUGGAAGGUCAGUGUUUGGGGAAAGACUGUAAUUAUAAUGAGGUCACAGAGUCCCAGAUUAGAGUCAGAAGGGCCAGCAAAGUCCGUUCCUCGAGGCCUGUAGGGACAGGCCAGUUGAUGAUGGGCCUGGGAGCAGGGGGCGGGUCUCUGGGCUCUGGUCGCAGGCUCUCUGGAGUCUGGGUACCAAACCUGCCGAGGCAGGAUCCGAAGACUUAGCAGAGUCCUCGGAUCCCAGGACUCAGCAAGUCAGCCUAGGAUGGAGACGUGUCUGCCUGCGUUUCAGAGGCCUGACCCGCUGCCAGCACCCUUUCGACUCCGGGAUCUGUUAUCACCUCGCUGUGGCCAAUCCCUUUGUAUUUCCUAUGAAGUGGAGCCAGAAGCCAUCAGCCCUGGAGGGACACGAGCACCUCUUCCCCCCCAACCUGCAGGACGUUUCAUCCAAGGCACAGUCAUCGCUCGUCCGACCGGUUAACGGCCCCCUGCUCCCCCAGCUGCUGGGCUACAGUCUGUUCUCCACACGGCGGCCUGGUGACCACAGCCUGGAGCGAAAUCCUCCUCUGCCUGAAACCUUCGGGCGGGCCCCAGAGGCCAACAGGUGGCGGAACCAGAGCCCCUGGCAAUGCAAGCAUGCGGUCUUAACCCCUGGGCCGCCGGGGAGACCCCGUGGACGUGAUCCCACUGUUAACACAGGAGACACCAUCAGUGCUACGUGUGGGAGAGGGCGGGUGCGUGCUCUCCCUGCUCUGGUCCUGAGUACACAGCCACACACUGUCCAGCGUGGACGCAGCGGUUCUCCAAAUGCUAUGCUCCAACACUUCGGCCACGUGAUGCCAAGAGCUGACUCAUUGGAAGAGACCCUGAUGCUGGGAAAGAUUGAAGGCGGGAAGAGAAGGGGACGACGGACGAUGAGAUGGCUGGAUGGCAUCACUGAAUCCACGGACAUGAGUUUCAGCAAGCUCUGGGAGUUGGUGAUGGACAGGGAGGCCUGGUGCGCUGGAGUCCAUGGGGUCGCAAGGAGUCGGACACAACUGAGUGACUGA